UUCCUCUGCGCUUCAGAGCUUGAAGCCGGGCGAAACGCCUCACCGUGAGGUCAGCAGAACAACAACAACAGCAAGCAAAAUGACAGCUGUGAGGUAUGAACAAGGGAUCCAGCCAAGAGAAUCAACUGGCUCUGCAACAACUGAAGAGGCCACAGUAAAGAUUGAUAACGGUCGUGAUGAGAGUAAUGAACCAGACAGCUGUUCCAAUGCAACUAGAAGAAAAAUUGCCCCGUUUGUGAUGUCAUUUGGAUUCAGAGUAUUUGGAGUUGUACUUAUCAUUGUGGACAUUAUAGUUGUGAUUCUGGAUCUGGCUAUCAGUGAGAGGAAGAAGGGUACAGAGAUUCCUGAAGGUGUUUCCCUGGCAAUAGCACUCUUCUUUCUCAUCGAUGUUCUCCUGAGGGUGUUUGUUGAAGGCUUCAGGAACUAUUUCCAGUCCAAACUGAAUGUUUUGGAUGCGUGUAUAGUGGUGGGCACCCUGUUAAUUAAUUUGACAUACUGCUUCUUAGAUGUUGAUGCAGUAAAGGAGAUACCAAGAAUGGUUAUUUUCCUCCGAAUCCUGAGAAUUGUCAUCUUGAUAAGAAUAUUUCGUCUGGCUUCGCAAAAGGAGCAACUUGAAAAGGUGACCAGGAGAAUGGUCUCUGAAAACAAAAGACGUUAUAUGAAAGAUGGCUUUGAUCUGGAUCUCACUUAUAUUACUGAUCGAAUUAUUGCAAUGUCAUUUCCAUCUUCUGGGAAGCAGUCUUUCUACAGGAAUCCCAUAAAGGAAGUUGCAAGAUUUUUGGACACCAAACAUCCAGGCCACUAUAAAGUCUAUAAUCUCUGCAGUGAACAAGGCUACGACCCCAAGUACUUUCACUACAGGGUGGAAAGGAUCUUCAUUGAUGACCACAAUGUCCCAGCACUACAGGACAUGCUGAAAUUCACUGCCAGUGUCCGUGAAUGGAUGAGUCAGGAUGAGAAGAAUGUUAUAGCAAUUCACUGUAAAGGGGGCAAAGGCAGGACUGGAACAAUGGUCUGUACUUGGCUCAUAGACAGUGACCAGUUUGAGAGCGCAAAGGCAAGUUUGGACUACUUUGGGGAGAGGAGAACUGAUAGAAGCACAAGUACCAAGUUUCAAGGAGUUGAAACACCCUCACAGAGUAGGUAUGUUGGGUAUUAUGAGAUCCUGAAAAACAAGUAUAACUUGGAACUCCCACCAGAGAGACUACUCAAAAUAAAAAACAUCAAAAUCCACGCUAUACAUGGAGUUGGGAAGGGCAAUGGAACUGAUAUGAAGGUGCAGAUAAUAACAAGGAAGAGAAUUGUACUACAAUGUGUAUGUGGCAAUCAAAACAACUGCAGGCUUUUCUUUGAUUCUGAAAGUGACACUGUAGUCAUUGGCUUGGAAGACUGCCCUGUUCUAAGUGGUGAUGUGAAAGUCAGAUUUGAAUGCAAUUCUGCUCUUCCAAAAGGCUAUGAUGGCUGCCCAUUCUUUUUCUGGUUCAACACUUCCUUUAUUGAAAAUAACAGUUACCUGAAGUGCUUGCAGUAAGGCUUAUCAGGAACAAAGUCUGGUUGAAAGCAGUUGGACACUGUACAGUGUGUGGCAAGCAGGACUGUAGCACUGCUGGAAGAUCCACUGGUGAAAGUCAUCUAAGCCCCUAAUGCAGUGAAACUUGCAAUUAAGAUGCCAUUAAACCACCUUCUGCCUGCCAUGACCGUUUGCCACUGGAACAUCAGGCCUUGAGCGUCUCAGGGUGUCCCUUCAUUGCCACCUUCCUCGGGCACACCACCAGGCCUGAUCUGCUCUUAUCUGCAGAAAAUGUGGAGACGGCGACAGCGCUUGAAAUGUUUCCUGGGAGAUUUCACAGCUCUGGAAUGCGGCGCUUCCACGCGCAUAUCGCCACCACGCGGCUUUUUCUGCUGCCUGCACCCGCGGCUGCUCAGCCGAACCCUGCUUUUUGUUCAUGCACCCUGCUGCUGUGGAGCACUUGUUUUGUUUUAAGGAAGAAUUGAUGUAGGAAUUGCAUACCCUGAAGUAACAACACUUGGUGUGUGUAGGGAGACCAUGGAAGAGCUGCCAUGACUCCCGAGAGACUCUCCUAAGAUGAGGUAUCAAUUUGUUUGGAGUUUUACUUCAAGGUUUCCCUCAAAGGAUUUAGGCACGGCAAAAAUGGGAUAUGUGUGCAGAGACCUUAACUCGUAAGAGCUUUGCAGGAAUGUGGAAGUGCUUGCUGACACUGAGAGGUCUGGUUUGGGAUUGAUGAUUGGCUUUGGGAUGUGAUGGUACACCGUGUGACAGAGUGGCGCAACUCCUCUUCAACAGAGUAUUUUGGCAUGAAGGGAUGGGUAACCUCUGGGAAGCUGACAGGGGGAUGCCAUGGAAACUUGUCUGAUGUGGGAGAGCAAAGGGAUCCUUUGCAGGCUGUGUUUCUGUCCAUUCUGCAGUCCCAAGCUAUUUCCUGGGCCCCACACCAUCUCCAGCCAACCACACGCAAACCUUUUGCCUUUGCAAGAAAGGACUUGCACCGAAAUAGCAGCCACAGGACACCUAAAUCUUUCCGAGAAUUUAUUGCCCUCUUAUCAGAAGAAACAAAUUUCUUUCUGCCUCACUCAGCCAUGAAAACGCUGUUAGGAUUCAGAGGAAGACCAGACAGAAUCCUGUGUUUGAGUGGAAUUUAUACAUCAUGUAUGAGAUGUAUGAAUAUGCAACAGGCUAUUGCUUUUAAGGGUUAAUCCUCUGUUAACAUGUAUCCUUUUCGGGUUUAUGUUGCCCAGAAAAGAUACCCCGACGUCCAUAACUCUUUGUGUCUAUUGCCUCAUAUUGUCCUAAUCCUAAUUGU
Non-coding RNA from Zonotrichia albicollis (white-throated sparrow), 2822 nucleotides. NCBI's taxonomy places the organism in Eukaryota, Metazoa, Chordata, Aves, Passeriformes, Passerellidae. The record is from RefSeq and is a predicted model, not a curated record.